AGAAUAUGCAGAAGUGGACCUCAGCAGCCUGGACAUCCUUCUAAGGAGACAUGAAUAUUCCUCAUCUUUCUGCCUUUUGCAUAACUGCCUUACCAAGGAAAAAGAAGUCACGGUCAGAGUCUACUGUCCUCAUGCGAUGGAAAGUGAGCGAGAGUGACGAGACCAUGAGCAUUGUCGAAAUAAAGCAUUAGGCAUGCAUCUGGGAGCGGAGCAGCUACUGCUGUCAGUGAGAUAAGUGUCUGUUCUGGUGAGAGCUCUGCUCACGGUCCAUCUGGCUCCAGGUAGGGACGUCUUGUUAGUUGGACCUGGGUUUGUAACAAAAUGUUCAUGACUAGCUGUGGUUAUGAGGGAGACUGGGUCUCCAUUUUCAGGGUCUGCUCAUUUCUCUGCUGACAAGCGAUGUGUCCUCUGCAGAAAAGGUAGGUUCCAGGUGGCGAGUUGCUUGCCUUCCUCCCGUGUUUUUCUCUCUCUCUCUCUCUCUUCUCUAGUGUUGGCCAACACACUGUGUCAGUCUGUCCUUGCCUCUUUUUCUGCUGUUUCACUUCAUUGCACACAGGCAGGUGAGUUAGCUGUGUAUCCCCAGAGGCCAGGUCUCGGGAAGCAUGGCAAAGUAGGAGAGGACGAAAAUAAUGCAGGGAAGUGGGUGUGAGAGUGGAGGCAGGUACUGGAAGGUCUUGUGCACCUGUAGUGUUUUUGGCAGUGAUGGCUCUUCCAUAGGUGGUUUGCUGUUCUUGCGGAGCAUCUGCAGGAAGCAGACCUGCACAAUCUAGCUGUUUCACUUUGCAGUGGAGCCGAGGUGCGCUCUUGUAAUGUUGGAGGAGCAGAUGCGUGUUUUUGUGAAAUGAUAUUUCUCUAUCCAGUAUCUGCAGAGUGAGGUGCCUCAUGGAGAGCAGAGAGAUGCUUCUCCUAUCCAUGGGAAGGUCCAGCUCUGCCUGUGGCUGGCAGUGGUCUGGGAUUGUCCCUUUCCUGGAGGGCUGUAGCUCCUUAGGAGUCGUGAGUAUUUUAGGCACUGGGUAAGCUGAAGAAGAAUAAAGAAGGAGGGAGCAGCAGCCAGUGACGUGUGUCCGUUGUUCUUCCAUGCACAAGUGGUGACCUAGCUUACAAGUGUUCUCUCUCUCUCUCUCUCUUUUCAGUCGUACUGAGAUUGGUCAGAUGAGAGAUCGGCCAACCUGUGGCAGAGACCAAAGAAGGAGCAGCCACCCGGAGCCCAUCUCUAGGGAUGGAAGCCGGACAAUGAUCUGCAGAUUAAGAGCAAAUGGAAACUUGCUGAAGUUCAGUAUUGAGGGAGGGCUGCAAAUACUCUUGUCAGUGGAGAGAAUUUUACCACGGAGAAAGAAGUGAAGGGUAAGAGCCCACCCCCGUUGUGAGAUGGAAAGCACCAAGAGCCGUGAGACCACAAGCGUUGUCGAUGCCAGGCUAUGGCGAUGCCGUCGAUCUGGGAGUGGAGCAGCCAUCACCAUCAGUGAGAUAAGUGUCUGGUUUGGGGAGGACUCCGGUAACGGCCCAUCUGCCUCCAGGCUGAGACUUGUCAUUAGCUGGGGCUCGGUUUGUAGGAAAAGAUUCCUGACCUGCUGUGGUUAUGAGGGAGACAAGGUCCCCAUUUUCAGAGGCUGCUCAUGUCUCUGGCCAGGACCAGUGUGUCCUCCGCAGCAUAUUAGAUCCAGGGGGAUGACUCCAGCUGGUGAGUUUCUUGACUCCCUCCCACGUUUUUCUCUCUCUCCUCUGUGUUG
This is a long non-coding RNA of Mauremys reevesii (Reeves's turtle), 1730 nucleotides long. RefSeq lists it as uncharacterized. The record is from RefSeq and is a predicted model, not a curated record. Lineage: Eukaryota; Metazoa; Chordata; Testudines; Geoemydidae. The transcript has 3 exons.